UGAGUAACAAGGCUGCUACAGGGCUGUCCCCAUCUAUAUGGUGGGAGGGAGGAGCUGGGGAGAGAGCUGAGCACUCUAUAAAGGGACUCUGUCUGCACUCAGUCUGAAGAUGGGCAGCAAGGAAGAAGGAGGUGCUGGACCAAGAGCCAAAAGAGACAGUGUGUCUCUGAGAUAGUCCUGGCUGAUGGGGUGUGCCAGGGUCCGCAGAGUUGGCUGGAACUCCACUACAGACUCUGGGAGGUACCUGAACCAGCUGCUCAGCUUCACCUCAUCCUCCAGAACCCCACCUUUCCCUAGAAGCACAUGGGAUGGGGGAAAUCAGCUCAGCACAGGGGCGGACUCCUGCCUGUAAACAGAGCUGCUGCUGGCUGGGUGCUCACCUGCUGGCUGCUGGCCUGUAGUGCUCUCCAGGGUGGAGAAGAGUAAGCCACAGGGUAGGGCUGGAUCUGGUGGCACCCCUUCAGGCAUCAUGUAGAAGAGUGCAUGAGCCUGGUACAGGGUAGUGGUUAGCAGCUCCAUCAGUGAACACACCUGAGCUUUUAUACCUGCACCUGCAAAAGAAGAAAAAGCCUUUCAAUGAAGGCAGCCCCUUUAACAGAAGUAUGACGAUGCUGUCAGUCUACCAAAGCCCUCCAGGAAUGGGCUGGAGGGCAUGGGUCUCAGCCCCAUGCAUCACCUGCUUCCUGGUUAAAGAUAAGCUUGGCUUUAGUCCCCGAGCCCUGUUAAUUCAGCAUUGUGG
This 739-nucleotide long non-coding RNA is filed under the name Gallus gallus (chicken). RNAcentral's name for it is "long non-coding RNA NONGGAT003329". Lineage: Eukaryota; Metazoa; Chordata; Aves; Galliformes; Phasianidae. The record is from RNAcentral.